This 733-nucleotide ribosomal RNA is filed under the name Xanthomonas boreopolis. Its description in RNAcentral is "bacterial SSU rRNA". It matches the Rfam family "Bacterial small subunit ribosomal RNA", at positions 341 to 1067 of the family's 1533-position model. The record is from RNAcentral. Lineage: Bacteria; Pseudomonadati; Pseudomonadota; Gammaproteobacteria; Lysobacterales; Lysobacteraceae.
ACGCGAGCAGCAGUGGGGAAUAUUGGACAAUGGGCGCAAGCCUGAUCCAGCCAUGCCGCGUGGGUGAAGAAGGCCUUCGGGUUGUAAAGCCCUUUUGUUGGGAAAGAAAAGCAAUCGGUUAAUACCCGGUUGUUCUGACGGUACCCAAAGAAUAAGCACCGGCUAACUUCGUGCCAGCAGCCGCGGUAAUACGAAGGGUGCAAGCGUUACUCGGAAUUACUGGGCGUAAAGCGUGCGUAGGUGGUGAUUUAAGUCCGUUGUGAAAGCCCUGGGCUCAACCUGGGAAUUGCAGUGGAUACUGGGUCACUAGAAUGUGGUAGAGGGUAGCGGAAUUCCUGGUGUAGCAGUGAAAUGCGUAGAGAUCAGGAGGAACAUCCGUGGCGAAGGCGGCUACCUGGACCAACAUUGACACUGAGGCACGAAAGCGUGGGGAGCAAACAGGAUUAGAUACCCUGGUAGUCCACGCCCUAAACGAUGCGAACUGGAUGUUGGGUGCAACUUGGCACGCAGUAUCGAAGCUAACGCGUUAAGUUCGCCGCCUGGGGAGUACGGUCGCAAGACUGAAACUCAAAGGAAUUGACGGGGGCCCGCACAAGCGGUGGAGUAUGUGGUUUAAUUCGAUGCAACGCGAAGAACCUUACCUGGUCUUGACAUCCACGGAACUUUCCAGAGAUGGAUUGGUGCCUUCGGGAACCGUGAGACAGGUGCUGCAUGGCUGUCGUCAGCUCGGUCG